UCUCCGUAGGUUAACCGGCGGAAGGAUCAUUAAGAAUUUAAAAGCAUUGUCUGGCACUGUUGCCCAUUCUAACCCUUUGUGAACUAAAACUCUGUUGCUUCGGGGACGACCCCGCCGUUUCGGCGGUGGCGCUCCCGGUGGCCAAUUAUUAAACUCUGCAUCUCUUGCGUCGGAGUCUUAAAGAAAUUUAAACAAAACUUUCAACAACGGAUCUCUUGGUUCUGGCAUCGAUGAAGAACGCAGC
This 244-nucleotide unclassified non-coding RNA is filed under the name uncultured fungus. Its description in RNAcentral is "sequence contains ITS1, 5.8S rRNA gene". The stretch from base 196 to 244 matches the Rfam family "5.8S ribosomal RNA", at positions 1 to 49 of the family's 154-position model. Lineage: Eukaryota; Fungi. The record is from RNAcentral.